CGUCACCGCCGGCUUUAUCAGGAGCCGAGCUCGGGGAGCGAAGGAGAUGCUGCUGCCCGGACUGUCCGCGCUGCCCCCUGUGCUGGGCUCCGUGCUGCCCCCGGGGGAGGAGGGGGAGGGGGCCGGCUUCCAGGUGGUGCGCUGGGAAUGGCACACUGUGCAGGCUCCCUAUCUGGUGGCUGUCUGGAUCCUGGUGGCCAGCCUGGCCAAGAUCGGUGAGCUAUAUGUACUAAGAGAUCGGUGAGAUCAUCCCCACCAUCAACCUCACCAUCAUCAACCUCACCAUCAUCAACCUCACCAUCAAAAUCACCAUCAUCAACCUCACCAUCAAAAUCACCAUCAUCAACCUCAACAUCAAAAUCACCAUCAUCAACCUCAACAUCAAAAUCACCAUCAUCAACCUCACCAUCAAAAUCACCAUCAUCAACCUCACCAUCAAAAUCACCAUCAUCAACCUCAACAUCAAAAUCACCAUCAUCAACCUCACCAUCAAAAUCACCAUCAUCAACCUCAACAUCAAAAUCACCAUCAUCAACCUCAACAUCAAAAUCACCAUCAUCAACCUCACCAUCAUCAACCUCACCAUCAUCAACCUCACCAUCAAAAUCACCAUCAUCAACCUCACCAUCAAAAUCACCAUCAUCAACCUCACCAUCAAAAUCACCAUCAUCAACCUCAACAUCAAAAUCACCAUCAUCAACCUCACCAUCAAAAUCACCAUCAUCAACCUCAACAUCAAAAUCACCAUCAUCAACCUCAACAUCAAAAUCACCAUCAUCAACCUCACCAUCAUCAAAGUCACCAUCAUCAACCUCACCAUCAAAAUCACCAUCAUCAACCUCACCAUCAAAAUCACCAUCAUCAACCUCAUCAUCAACCUCACUAUCACCAUCAACCUCACCACCAUCAUCAACCUCACCAUCCUCAACCUCACCACCAUCAUCACCAUCAUCAACCUCACCAUCAUCUAUAUCAUACCAUUACUGUGCACCAUCACCAUCUAUAUCAUACCAUUACUGUGCACCAUCACCAUCUAUAACAUACCAUUACUGUGCACCAUCACCAUCUAUAUCAUGCCAUUACUGUGUACCGCCACAAUCUAUAUCAUACCAUUACUGUGUACCGCCACAAUCUAUAUCAUACCAUUACUGUGUACCGCCACCAUCUAUAUCAUACCAUUACUCUGCACCGCCACCAUCUAUAUCAUACCAUUACUGUGCACCAUCACCAUCUAUAUCAUACCAUUAUUGUGCAUCGCCACCAUCUAUAUCAUACCAUUACUGUGCACCAUCACCAUCUAUAUCAUACCAUUAUUGUGCAUCGCCACCAUCUAUAUCAUACCAUUACUGUGCACCAUCACCAUCUAUAUCAUACCAUUAUUGUGCAUCGCCACCAUCUAUAUCCUACCAUUACUGUGCAUCGCCACCAUCUAUAUCAUACCAUUAUUGUGCAUCGCCACCAUCUAUAUCCUACCAUUACUGUGCAUCGCCACCAUCUAUAUCCUACCAUUACUGUGCAUCGCCAACAUCUAUAUCAUACCAUUACUGUGCACCGCCACCAUCUAUAUCAUACCAUUACUGUGCAUUGCCACCAUCUAUAUCAUACCAUUACUGUGCAUCGCCACCAUCUAUAUCAUACCAUUACUGUGCACCAUCACCAUCUAUAUCAUACCAUUACUGUGCAUCACCACCAUCUAUAUCAUACCAUUACUGUGCAUCGCCACCAUCUAUAUCAUACCAUUACUGUGCAUCGCCACCAUCUAUAUCAUACCAUUACUGUGCAUCACCACCAUCUAUAUCAUACCAUUACUGUGCAUCGCCACCAUCUAUAUCAUACCAUUACUGUGCAUCGCCACCAUCUAUAUCAUACCAUUACUGUGCACCAUCACCAUCUAUAUCAUACCAUUACUCUGCACCGCCACCAUCUAUAUCAUACCAUUACUGUGCACCAUCACCAUCUAUAUCAUACCAUUACUGUGCAUCGCCACCAUCUAUAUCAUACCAUUACUGUGUACCGCCACAAUCUAUAUCAUACCAUUAUUGUGCAUCGCCACAAUCUAUAUCAUACCAUUACUGUGCAUCGCCACAAUCUAUAUCAUACCAUUACUGUGCAUCGCCACCAUCUAUAUCAUACCAUUACUGUGCACCAUCACCAUCUAUAUCAUACCAUUAUUGUGCAUCGCCACCAUCUAUAUCAUACCAUUACUGUGCACCAUCACCAUCUAUAUCAUACCAUUAUUGUGCAUCGCCACCAUCUAUAUCCUACCAUUACUGUGCAUCGCCACCAUCUAUAUCAUACCAUUACUGUGCACCGCCACCAUCUAUAUCAUACCAUUACUGUGCAUCGCCACCAUCUAUAUCAUACCAUUACUGUGCAUCGCCACCAUCUAUAUCCUACCAUUACUGUGCAUCGCCACCAUCUAUAUCAUACCAUUACUGUGCAUCACCAUCUAUAUCAUACCAUUACUGUGCAUCGCCACCAUCUAUAUCAUACCAUUACUGUGCAUCGCCACUAUCUAUAUCAUACCAUUACUGUGCAUCGCCACCAUCUAUAUCCUACCAUUACUGUGCAUCGCCACCAUCUAUAUCAUACCAUUACUGUGCACCAUCACCAUCUAUAUCAUACCAUUACUGUGCAUCGCCAACCAUCUAUAUCAUACCAUUACUGUGCAUCGCCACAAUCUAUAUCAUACCAUUACUGUGCAUCGCCACCAUCUAUAUCAUACCAUUACUGUGCACCAUCACCAUCUAUAUCAUACCAUUACUGUGCACCAUCACCAUCUAUAUCAUACCAUUACUGUGCAUCGCCACCAUCUAUAUCAUACCAUUACUGUGCAUCGCCACCAUCUAUAUCAUACCAUUACUGUGCAUCACCAUCUAUAUCAUACCAUUACUGUGCACCGCCACCAUCUAUAUCAUACCAUUACUGUGCAUCGCCACCAUCUAUACCAUACCAUUACUGUGCAUCGCCACCAUCUAUAUCAUACCAUUACUGUGCAUCAACUGUAUGACUCCGUACAUCCCUUGUCAUACUCUGUACUGUGCACAGCUCUGUGGGGUGAAUCACUCUACCUGCUCUGUUGUAAUACAUGCUUUAUUCAGAAGUUGCUGAACUGGGGGAGGGGGUUGUUUAUUUCACAUUAUGUUUCAGGGUAUACAGAAUGUUCUCCGGGUCUUGGUAUUUUGCAUGUUUUCACUUAAUAACUUUUCCUUUCUCACUCUGUAUAGUGCAUUCUCAAUCUCUGUGUUGUCCCCCCCUUACAAUGCCUCUCUCACUGCUUUAUCUAUAAAUCCUUGCUGUCACAUGUGCUUUAAUCAUGAGUGCAUUUAUCGUGUCUCAUAGUUUAACGAACAUGAAUUAAUGUAACAAAUGGUUUUCAGGUUUCAUGUGUAUAUGUUAAUAGAACUAAAUGACAUAAUGUAAGUGCACUGUAUGUGAAUAUACAUGGUGUGUAUAGCACCCUGAAAGCACCAGCUCUGUAUUUGUGAGCUCACCAGGUCCGAUGCAGGGCUCUGCUCGUUGAUGGAGAGUGCUCAGCUGAUGCCCUUUGCCAGUGAGAGAAGCCCUGCAUGGCCCUUGGUUAUCUCAAUGGAGCUAACCGGAUUCUCUGUAAGAGAAAUCAGACGCAAGUGUUCUUAAAUAGUUUGACAAGGGCACUGCUAGCACCAUAAUCACUAUAGUGCCCCAUCGUGCCCCAUCGUGCCCCAUCGUGCUUGGAGUGGGUGUUUUUCAGUGUUUUGUGUCGAGGAAUAUGAAGUUUUCUUCUUAAUGUGUACCUCACAUGAAUACUUCAAAUGAGAGGGGAGCUCUAAGCAAUAGAGCGCAUCGCACUCUCACGCUUUGGGAGCAUGCUUAUACUAACUAGGCCCCAAAAUAUAUAAAUUAAGUUCAGCCCAAGGCACAUUGCCCUGUUGUUCCUAAUGUCCCAAUAUUGCAUACCUUUCUUUGUGUAUUGUUUUUUGAUAUGGACCCGGCUUUAUCUUGUCUUCUCUUGUUUCCUUGGUUCCCUUAACUCCGCUCUUUUUUUCAUUGUUGGAAUUUUUUGGCUUCCUUUGACCUUGGAUUGUUUUGACGUUACUAUUCUUCCUUUCAUUUACUCUUUCUAUCCGGCCAGUCUAAUGUCUUAUUAAGAGACCUUUUCUCUAUCUCUAUCUCUCUGGAGGGUUUACAUCCUCUGCUCCCUUACCCUCAAUAUACCAUCUCUCCAGAAUAUCCUCCUCUGCUCUCUUACCCUCAAUAUACCAUCUCUCCAGAAUAUCCUCCUCUGCUCUCUUACCCUCAAUAUACCAUCUCUAUACCAUCUCUCCAGAAUAUCCUCCUCUGCUCCCGUACCCUCAAUAUACCAUCUCUCCAGCAUAUCCUCCUCUGCUCCCAUACCUGCACUGUACCAUCUCUCCAUAACAUCGCCAUCUGCUUCCUUACCCUCAAUAUACCAUCUUUCCAGAAUAUCCUCCUCUGCUCCCGUACCCUCAAUAUACCAUCUCUCCAGAAUAUCCUCCUCUGCUCCCGUACCCUCAAUAUACCAUCUCUCCAGCAUAUCCUCCUCUGCUCCCAUACCUGCACUGUACCAUCUCUCCAUAACAUCGCCAUCUGCUUCCUUACCCUCAAUAUACCAUCUUUCCAGAAUAUCCUCCUCUGCUCCCGUACCCUCAAUAUACCAUCUCUCCAGAAUAUCCUCCUCUGCUCCCGUACCCUCAAUAUACCAUCUCUCCAGCAUAUCCUCCUCUGCUCCCAUACCUGCACUGUACCAUCUCUCCAUAACAUCGCCAUCUGCUUCCUUACCCUCAAUAUACCAUAUUUCCAGAAUAUCCUCCUCUGCUCCCGUACCCUCAAUAUCCCAUCUCUCCAGAAUAUCCUCCUCUGCACCCGUACAAGCACUGUACCAUCUCUCUAGAAUAUCGCCAUCUGCCUCCGUACCCACGCACUUUACUAUCUCUCCAGAAUAUCACCACCUGUUCCCGUACCCAUGCACUGUACCAUCUCUCCAGAAUAUCGCCAUCUGCUCCUGUACCCGCGCACUGUAACAUCUCUCCAUCUCUAUUAUACACACAGAUCCAUUACUGGGAGUAUUAUUGCUGUGGAGCUCUGUUAUACUCUCAGACACAUUACUGGGAGUAUUAUUGCUGUGGAGCUCUGUUAUACUCUCAGACACAUUACUGGGAGUAUUAUUGCUGUGGAGCUCUGUUAUACUCUCAGACACAUACUGGGAGUAUUAUUGCUGUGGAGCUCUGUUAUACACUCAGACACAUUACUGGGAGUAUUAUUGCUGUGGAGCUCUGUUAUACACUCAGACACAUUACUGGGAGUAUUAUUGCUGUGGAGCUCUGUUAUACACUCAGACACAUUUCUGGGAGUAUUAUUGCUGUGGAACUUUAUUAUACUCAGACACACCAACAAUAUGGAGAUCAUAGGAAAAAAGACAAACAGAGGAAUUUGGGUCCAUAAUGCCCUUCCUAAAUUGGGACACUUGGGAGUUAUAUUAAAGCACUGCCUUGAACUGUAACUUUGUCACUGAAUUGCUCUCUGUCUAUGUCCUUGCUCCAAGGCUAACAUCUGUCUUCCACAUUAUGCAGGCCUACAUGCAUGUGGCAGCAUGUCUGUGUAAUGGUAAAUAUGGAGAAAAUUCAGAAAAAAUGGCCAAGCUGUGACAGUAUCAGUUAGAGACAACAUUUACCAAUUAGGUGUUUUUUUUUUUUUGUUCUUUCAAUUUACUGUUUAGAUAGCACACCCCUCAGUGCAUGUUCUGAAUUCUGUAUUUGAACUGUUGCAGAGAAUGUUGCAUUGUUAGUAUCUAUUUAUUCUGAGAUGAGAAAUGUGCCCAGUCAAAGAUUACAGCAGAGUUGUCACUUCUCUGGUAGUGAGUUUGUACUCCAAUAAACACCAUUAUUAGUAGGAUUUACUGGGUGUAUUAUACAGAACAGGUGUUUUAUAUCCACAUGUACAUUUCCUUAGUAGGUGUGCAUGGUGUACCUGGCGCCGUGUGCAAAGUGAAAAUAUUGUGGGAUUUUAAAGAAAUAAAUAGCACAAUGAAUGCUAGCUUAUCGCGGCAGUCCCACUUUAAUCAGCCCUGCAUUCUGUGAAACUUCAAGCCAUCUAUCAAUCACUCUGUGAAUUUAUAUGGAGCAUACACAGAGUGAGCCUCAGGUUAUAGGUAACCUAUAACCUACCUUCUGUGAAACACAAGGUAGGUUGCAUUAAUAAAGCGAGCUGUAGGUGGACGCAACGCGAUGUUAGAAAGCGAGUGGGACACAGAGUUAUUUGUAUGAAUGGGAAAGGGCUUUUUAUGUAUCUGGAAAAGGUUUUAGUGCGCUACAAAGACUGUAAUGUGGUAAACAAGAUAUCCAGGUUUAUUUGCCCCAUUCAUUAAUUACAGUGAACAUUGUUUGCUGAAAUAGUCAAGCUAUGAAAGUGUCUGAGUGGUAGAAUUUGUAUAUUGUCUAUUAAGGCUGCAAUAUGCAGUAUCGCAGACAGUUCUCUACAAUUCCUGAUUAGGCAAUAACCUACAUAGUGAGGAUGUGAAUGCCACUCCAGGGUUUUGUGUGUCUGGAUGGUGAAAAAAUCAUCCUUUAUGGAUGCUCUGAGUCUGUUUCAGGUAAUGAGUGCUCAUGUUGGAGUGAGGAGGCAGGAUUAGGCACUGCGGGCAGAUAGACUAACUUGCUAGGAGACAUUAGUAGGAAACUGAACCUCGGUAGAACAAUCAUCAUGAACUGGCAGUACUGAAAGGAAAGGUUUAACACUAUAUCGUUGCUCUGUGAGACAGAGGGCAGGUAAGUAAACAAGGAGAAGGGCAGGAGGAUGCCUGUGUACCUGCAGGUGGCAUAGUGAAGAUCGUGUCCAAUAUCUUUACCUAAGUAAAAGUGGAAUGUAGAUUGCUAUAGAUAACUGGAGACUGAGUAUAUAGCUAAAACUUAACUUUUAAUGCUAUUCUUAAUAAAAAGAUGGGACUACUCCCCUGUUAUAAUCCUAAGGGAAGGUAUCACCUGAAAACCAAUGAAAAUAAAUCAAUCAACAGAAAAUAUGUAAUGUUAGUCAACGAAAUAGUAUCAGAGUAUAUUGAGUUCAGGUAUUCGUAUGUGAGCUUCCACUCAAUAUUAGUCGCUGGUGAGUGUGUGGAACUACCCUUUCUUUUAUUUAUAUAUUACACCAUUACUGUAUAUUUUUAUAUUAUUUUCUAUUGAGUAUACCAGCGCAAUUUUUGGUGUAGUGUCAGGCAAUUAGUUUCAUUUAUUGGUAGCGAUUCUCUGUGAGUGCACGUAUAUUUGUCUCUAUCUUAAGUCUGUCUUUGUAUAAAUUAUCCCAUUAGGUACUAAGAAUGAAUCUUCAUAGUAUUACUCAUAGGCUUGAUAGGAGAAUGAAUCUCCUGAAAGAUAGAGAUCCGGAGGAUACAGAUACGAUCCCGGUGAUUGAAACCAAUAUACAUAAAUUAUUCUUUGAGUUAGAAAAAACCCUGAAGUCAGAAAUGAGAGAUUGGUGGGAUAGUGCCCUUCUGAAAAAAUAUAUUGAUAAUAAAUUUAUUCCAAGAGGUCUCAGGUUUGAGAAACAACCCUUUUUUAAUGACAACACUCCAUUAGAACAGGAAUGGUUGGGGGCUCUAGAUACCUGUUCUUUUGUACUUAUGGAUAUCUUGGUCAGGUACAGAGAAUCUAGACUCCUUGACACAGAAAAGUCUAUUAAGGAAAUACAAGAACGGAUAGGUUCUGUACAGGAGCAAUCCUCUGUUAUUUCCAAUUUAGACGAGGCCACUAAUCAGAGACUUGUGGGUUUUGAGAAAGAUUAGAUUUUUCGUAAACAGAGUAAAUUUCAGAGAGAUAAACUUGAUUAUCAAAAUGGACAAAUUAGGAGCUGGCAACGUAAACGUGUCUCUAGGUCUACCCAAAAUAAUAAAAAUUAUCGAGAAAGAAACAAGGAGGGUAACAUCAUUUGCCCUUAUUCAUCCCCCGAUAGGGGCUUUAAAUCGAAGUCCAAAACUUAUGCUGAUAUUGUAAAAAAUCCCCGGUUUAGGAGGAGGUCUCCCUUCACCGUUAACAGGGGGAAGUCAGUUUCGAAAUACAAUAAUAAUAAAAAUCGUGGAGCAGUUUUACCACAUUAUAAAAAUAUUAACAACUAUGAUAAUCAUGAUCCACAAAAUCCCAAUCGGAUUCCAUUGGGAUUUAACCCCCAAUUUAAUAGAGCUAAGGAGGGUUUUAAAGUUGGGUCUGAUCUGACGUGUGCUCAAGGGGCUAGACCGAAAAAGAUAGACCGCAAUUGUCAGCCUGCUGGUGAUCAUUUGGAUGAUGAUUUUUUAGAAUCUCCCCCCUUCCAUCAAUUGGAAAAGGAGAAAACGUUUCCCCUAUUCAGACGCCCCCACAAAAAGAAGGGGAUCGAUGUGGAGGAUCAAAUGGAAGGGGUGAACAGUCCAGCCAAAGUGAGAUGCCUUUAAAUAAAGGCUUGUUUAAUUUAUCAACCCAUGAGUUAAGUAUUGGAGAAACUAUACUUCUAAAUAAAGGACUCAAAUAUGCUCCUGAUAGAUUACCCAAUAUAAUGGAUUUGUUUAAAGAUCUUAAUUAUUUUAUUAGAAAACUUACAUGCAUUAGAUUUUUUAAUCUUAGUGAUGCGAAGGGUAAAGAUAUUUGUCCUAAAUUUCUCAAUACUCCACAGGAUAAAAUUCUUUUUCAUGGUCUUGUCUCUUUACUAGAGGAACAAGAACAUCCAUACUGUAUGGAAGAUCCUAUUUAUAUAGUUGAAGCCAAUAUUCCAUCAGGGUUAAAACCUCCCUCUACUUUCUAUCCACAGGGUGAUAAAGGCCCUUAUUUACAAAUGUUUUAUGAAUUUGUCCUACGAGAUUUUAAGAUCCUCUGUAGUGAGUACAAAAGGAGAAAAGAUCGGGUUUGUAACAAUCUGGAGCCAUUUGAGAUAGCGAUUGCCAGUUUUAAAAAAUAACUGUAAUCUCAUUAUUAAAGGGGCGGAUAAGGGAGGGGGUAUUGUCUUGUUGGAUAAAGCUGAUUACCUACAGGAAGCUGAACGUAUAUUGGGGAAUACAGAAUACUAUGAGACCUUAGGGUUUGAUCCCACUAAGCGUUUUAGACGAGAAUUGAGAGAUCUCAUAGAUUUAGCAUUUCAACAUGGUGCUAUUGAUAAGAAAGAGAGAUUUUUUUUUCUUUCAGCUAAAGGGGAUAUUCCCAUUUUUUAUUACCUUCCCAAGGUACACAAAUCCCUUCAUAAUCCACCAGGGCGCCCCAUUAUAUCGGGGCUAGGCUCCCUUAUUGCACCCAUUUCUAAGUGGGUAGAUUUUCAUCUACAAAGAUUUGUCCCACAUUUACCGUCCUUUUUGAAGGAUACAGGGCAUGUUUUGUCUAUUGUUAAAGAAACUGAAUGGAGGGGACACUAUUGUUGGCUCACCAUUGAUGUGGCAGCCCUGUACUCAAAUAUAGAUCAUACUUUGGGCCUUAAAGCUCUUGCUUGGUAUUUGGAUUCAGAUCCUCUUCUUCCUGCUAAGCAGUCUGAAUUUAUUAUUGGGUUCACCGAUUUUAUGUUAAAGCACAAUUAUUUUGAAUUUAAUGGAAAGUUUUUCUUGCAAACAAAAGGAACUGCGAUGGGGGCGAGUUUUGCCCCGUCCUAUGCCAAUUUAUUUUUGGGUUUUUGGGAACAAUCUGUGAUUUUUUCAGACCAACUUUGGAUGGGGAGACUCGCCCUUUAUCGCAGGUUUAUUGACGACAUCCUUAUUAUCUGGAAGGGUGGUUGGGAUGAAGUAGAAGAUUUUAUGGCACAUAUUAAUGACAACCAAUGGGGUCUUUCUUUCACCUAUAAGAAACACAAAUCCAUCAUAGAGUUCUUGGAUCUUACCCUUAUUGGAACUACAAGUUCGAUUGUCACCAAAACCUUUCAAAAAAGUGUGGAUGUCAAUGGCUAUCUACAUGCCAUGAGUGGGCACCAUCCCACAUGGAUACAAAAUAUACCUUUGGGACAAUUUACCAGGAUCAGGCGUAACUGCUCCUAUGUGAGUGAUUACGAGAGAGAGUCACUGGUUUUGUCCCGACGUUUUGUAGAGAAAUCCUAUCCAUUGAACAAUAUUUUACAAGCCUAUUUAAAGGGCCAUCAUUAUGGUAUGGUAUCAAGUUCUGGUGUUCAGAAUGGGAUGGUUUCUGGGGUAAAAUCUCCUUUACCAUUCCUAUGUCCAGAACAAGAUCAUACAAAAGAACAUUUUAAGAUCCUUGAACUUUUGAAUUCUAGUAUUUUUUCAAAUAAAGCUAAAAGAGCGAAAUUUAACAUCAGCACCAAAGAGGUUGGUACAGGGAGAACACCUAUAUUCUCUACCACCUUUAAUAAGGGCUAUGAUGAUAUUAUUGAAAUACUCAACAAAUAUUGGCCUAUAUUGAUUAAAGAUCCUUGGUUGUCAUUCUGCGUGUCUGGGACCCCAAGGGUCACUUUUAGAAGGGCACCAAAUUUGAAGAAUAUUCUAGCCCCUUCGAAAUUACGUAGUCCAACUAUACUUCAUCAGACAACAGUUGUUAGUACUUUGGCUAAUAAACGUUGUGGUCACACCAGGUGUCUUACUUGUGGUUUUAUUUGCCCUCAUAUUUCUACCUUUAGUCCAUUUGACAGUACGGAGAUUUUUUCUAUACAAUCUUUGAUCUCUUGUAACACUUCUUUUGUGGUAUACCUCCUUAUUUGCCCUUGUGAACGGCAUUAUGUGGGCCAAACUAUUAGAUCUUUGAAAUGUAGAUUUCGGGAACACAGAACAGCUAUUAUACGUAAUGAUGGUAAAUCUUCGGUGGCCCGACAUUUCUCUAUCUUUCAUGAUAGUAAUCCUGUUGGUAUUAAGUUAGUGGGAAUAGUACAUAUUCCCCCCCAUCAGGAUGAAGCUAAACGGAGAAGGGAGCUCACUAAGGCUGAGUCCAUGUGGAUUUUUAAGCUCAACUCUAUGACUCCUAAUGGCCUCAAUGAGGAGUUGGAGUUGUUCUGAUCACUAUGGAUUCACCCUUUGUGGGUGGUAUGUCCUUUCUGGUAAUGUUAUGAGACCUAGGGUCUUUUUUACGACAAGUUAAUAGUAUACUUUGAAAUAAUAACAUGGUUUCUUUUCUACUUUUAAUGUACACUCAUAUUACUAUAUAUGUUGGUUGCCUGACCCUUUAUAUUAAGAUGUUAUACAUAUGUUAUAUUAUGUUUAUUUUAUUUUUAUGUAUAAAUUUUUUAUGUUAUUUUCUUUCUUAUUGUGAAUCCAGCCCUGGUUUUCCCCCUUUUUUUUUUUUUCUGCCGUGUGUGGGGUAUUUAUACCUGUUUGCUUACAUACUAUCUUUAGUCUUGAUAAAGUCCCGUGGGAGGGAUGAAACGCGUAGACAGGUUGUGUUCUGGACCUGCUGUUAUCUGAUUGCUGUUUUGGAGUGAAAGCUGGAAGCACAUAUCCAUUUUGGCGGUCUUUUCUUCAUUGGGCUCUGUUUGCUGGAUCUUACCUUUGAAGCUGUACCUUACGGUGUCUGGUUAUACUCCACCGCGGUCUUUUUCGAAGAUUCCGACCGCGGUGCAUCAGCUUAUGACCUCCAUGGAUAUUUAGUGUGCCGUAUUCCUCUUUUAUCACAUUUUUAGACUCUUUGCUCUCCUUUUUUUACCUCGGUGGGGGCCCACACCGAGGACAGGUACUGUGUCUAUAUAUUUUUACAUCAGAGUAUAUUCGCUAUUAUACUUGUGUUAGGGUUUGGGAUGGGGCAACACUAAGACACUUUGUUACUAUAUCUCCACAUUGAGUCUGGGUGUUGCUACCACUCAAUUUCCUCACUUAUUAGAGAGCUGUGUGGUUACAUUUGUUUCAGGAUAGCGAUAUUGUUUUUAUUUGUUAUAUAAUUGGUCCAGAUCAUAUUUUGUGUAUUUUGAUAAUUAUUUUUUAACUGUUUCUGAUGAAUAAACAGUGGUUUAUCUAUUCAUGAUUAUAAUUACUAUUUUUAUUCUAUGAUUGGGUAAGUGUCCACACUUUUACAGUUUGUGAGCUUCCACUCAAUAUUAGUCGCUGGUGAGUGUGUGAAACUACCCUUUCUUUUAUUUAUAUAUUACACCAUUACUGUAUAUUUUUACAGGUAUUCGUAUGCCAAACUAAUACAUAAAGUAGUAUUAUAUUGGUGGACAAUGAACACCCCAUUUAAUUAUAUAAUAUAGAUUUAUAUAAUAGAUCACUAGAAUAUUGAUCUAACCACUCAAAGCUCUGAUUAGUAACAUUCAGGCCGUGGAAUGUACUGUGUGUUAGGGCUAAUCCUAGGAUAACAAAGUUACACAGAUCAAAAUCUGUAUCAUCUAAUGCCUUUGGGAAUGGCUACAAAAGUAUAAAACAGAGUAUUGUUUAGUCUAAUAAUCAUAGUAGUAUAAUCCCCCUGUCGUGCCUUUUGAGGGAACCCCUUUACAAAAGCUGUUCCUGUGUAGCAAGCAAACACCUGCACAACGGAUACCCGUAUGAAAGGUAACUAGUAAUUGAACUAACGAUGUAGCUAGUUCCGUAUAAGCAGCUAGAAGUCAUGGAUUAAACAAUGCGAGCGUCCGUCUGGUAUCUUGGUCAACAUGUAAUUAAGUGGAGCUGUUUGCUUGCCUGAAUCCCUGACACGAGUUUCACCUUUUGGCUCAUCAGAGGGAAACCGGACUUCGGAAGUGUCCAGUAUUUAAAUUGGUAUAUUGAUCCUGAUUGGAUCAGGUGAUUUUAAAUGGACCAAUCCCUACUCAGGAAAGAAAAUCAUGAAAAAAAUCUUAUUACUAAAAUCAACAACUAAGAGAAUUACGAAAUGAGUAAGUUGCUAAUGCCUUAUGUUAACAACUAUAGUUGUAGUUAUAGAGACUUAAGGAAAAUUGUUUAUUGUACAUGGAUUUGAUACCAGGAAUAUAUUGAUCGCCAUCAGUGUUUAAGCGAAUCAAUUCAUUACAUUUGUAAUGGAUCACCUGGCACCCAGACUGGGUACCACCGUUGACGGAUGUUCCUAGUGCUUCCUGAGGGCACCAAGCACUCCACUAGACACCAUAACCACCGCAGACCCCACAAACUACCGCAGCUUGGUUGGGGUCUCGCCGUCUUCCACCCACACUGGACCCAAGACCAGGAUCCAGCUUCCAGUAGGUAGACCUCUCUUAAUCCAGAGAGCAGGAACAGGAAAAAGCUCUUACAAGAGCUUAGUGAUUAUACUCUGUGGAGUAUAGUGAUUAUAGCAAUCCCCAAUCCCCCAAACAUGAGCCGAAACAUCAUGAAGGGUAGAGCAAGUCUGAGGCUUUAUUGGUACAGGUUUGCUUAUAUACAAUUCCUCAGGCCAGAGGCACAAUGUCCGACACUCCCACUUACAGCACACAAUCCCUCCCCUCUGCCCGUGAUACAAUUAACUAAGACAAUGGGCUAACUCAAUUAACUCUAAGCAGAAAAAACUAAUUUUUACAAACCCCAAAAUACAACAUAUCCCCACAAAAGUCCCCACAUCCCCUGAUAGCCCGAUCUGGGUGAACAACAUAUCCAAAAAUCACCCAGAUCGGUUCAGGGGUUCAGGAAUUUCCUGGAAGUCUUAUUUUUGCCCCACCGUGCACAUGGUCCCAUGCUCAAAACAAUUCCAUACACUCAACGACAAAACACUGCUGGACAGUUUAAGAUGGCCGCCGCUACAUGUUUGAAUCUGUUCCAGUUAAAAGUCCAAGGGGCAGAAACAGUACUUUUGAACAUUGGUUAUCACAGGGCCCAUAGUCCCAGGGUAGGAGGCUGGCACACAGGCCCCUCCAAAAACCAGUGGCGAAGUGGAUUUCGUCACAACAUUACACCCUGUUCCAAAUUAUUAUGCAAAUUAUAUUUUUCUCAUUUACCUAAAUAAUUGAUGUAAAUAACAGCAUAAUUCUCAUAUUAUCAACUAUUAAGAGUACAAUUACCAGAUUUUACUAAUUACAUGACGUAAAGUCUAGCUGUCGGAAGGUUAAGACUGGUCGAGUCAACGUCCUCCGGAUUUGCUUCUUGAUAAGUUUUACUUUCGCGGUAGGUAAACUGAGUGUUCCGUGCAUUGCGUCUAUAUCGAAGCCCAGAAACUCUAUCGAGUGGGAAGGUUGCAGGAUCGAUUUGUCCCAAUUGAUUAGGAAACCCAGGUUUUGCAGAAGGAUCAACACCCAGGAUAGAUGUUGGUUCAGUAGCUGGGUGUCCUGGGCCAUGAUCAGCAUGUCGUCGAGGUAUAUGAUCAGACGUACACCUCUGCUGCGAAGGAGGGCGACUACCGGUUUCAGCAGCUUGGUGAAGCACCACGGGGCUGAAGACAGGCCGAAAGGGAGGCAGCGGAAACGCCACAUCGUCUGUUCCCAUUGGAAUUGAAGUAGGUGUUGACAGUCCUCGGCAAUCGGUAUCGUGAGGCAUGCAUCUUGGAGGUCCAAUUUUACCAUCCAGUCUCCCAGUCUUAGCAGGUCUUGGAGGCAGUGUAUCCCUUCCAUCUUGAAGUGAUAGUAUGUGACAAAGGCGUUGAGAGGCCGCAAGUUUAUUACUGGCCUCGUGCCCCCACCUUUCUUGGAUACUAGGAAGAUGUUGCUUAGGAACCCGGGGGCGGUAAUUGGAACCUUGUAUAUCGCACAUUUCUCCUCUAGUGUGCGAAUCUCUUUUGACACCAGAUGUUUGUCUCGUGGGGAAAAAACAAUCCCAUGUGGCAAUGAGAGUUGAAUCGGUUGUUGUGUGAAUUCGAUGUGGUAGCCGAGGAUGGUCUCUAGGACCCAGGCAUCUGAGGUUAGGUUGUGCCAAGCAUCCUGGAAAUGAAACAAUCUGCCCCCCACGUGUACCAAGGGAAGGGUGUGUAAUGGGAAAUGACUCACCAUAAGGCCGACGGCCAUAGGAGGAUCCCCUGGUUCCAUGUGGGUGCCACGACCUGCCCCUGGUCGGGAAGAAUGGUGACUGUGCCCUUGGUUCGGGCGGAUGGAACCGUGUUGUGGCGGAGCCUCGAUAGCCCCGGAACGGAGUCCGGGAGGGGCGGCCGGACAGACGGCCCCGCUGUCUGCCGGCCCCACCGAAAACCUUUUGCGAGAACACUCGCUUCAUAUUAUGUUGUGCCUUAUCUAGUGCCGUAAAUGUGUUGACAUAGUUGCCCAGGGUUUUAACAAAGUCGUCUCCGAAUAAGAGACCUUUUGCCUGUGUGCCAGGCUCGGAGAUUGCCAAAUGUACAAAUUUUGGCUCAAUUUUCAUUAAUAUGGCUUUACGCCGUUCUGUGGCCAAAGCGGUGUUGGCAUUUCCAAUUAGGCAUAUGCCUCUCUGAAUCCAUCCUCUGAUGGCUAUUAAGUCAAUUGAGGUCCCCCCAGUAAGGGCCACUUCGACCAUAUCGAAGAUUUUAGCUAUAGGCCCGAGUAUGUCCAGGAUCUUGUCUUGGCAGUGCUUUAGGGAGUAGUCCAAACCCUUUUUGGCCCUCCUUCCUGACUUACCCAGAAACUGAGCGAUCUUGGGGUCCACCUCAGGGGUCACGCAGGCCAUGUCUGGGACAGUGGGGCGUGGGCAUUCCGCCCUCAGCUUGUUUCUUGUGGCCUUGUCGAGGGGUUUUCUGACCCUGGUCGCAAUGUAAAUGGCCACAUGAGUUGUGGGGUACCAAUCCGCUGAACGCGGAUUAUGCAAGGUGUCAGGAUCAAAAAGGGGUUCCCCUUGGGGAUCUAACACAGCGGAUUCAUCCGUCUCGUGCUCAGCGUCUAGCGCUGGAGGCGCGGUUUCGCCGCGUUCGGGGGACGAAUUAUCUGAAAAGAUUGGGUCGAUGUUAUCGGACCCAUCUGACACCUCCUCUGAGUCCGAAUCGGAGUCGGACAAAUCAGAUAGGGCUUUUGCCCUCUUCCAAGUCCGCACCGUUUUUGCCCGGCGGGGGGCUCUUUUACGUGGGAGCACCACGUCAUCAGUCUCAACAGGGCGCAACCUGUCCGUCUUACUGGUUUUUACUGGGAUUCCUGGGAGCGUCCCCCACCCGGUGGGAAGUUGAGAGAAAAACGGGUUAUAAACAACCCGAAACGGCAGUGCAGGAUGGGGCUUGCCUCAGGGUAGAGGCAAGUACCCUGCACUGAGGACAGUUUGAAGAACACAAGUUGUAAGCAAAAUUGAUAGAAAAAAAUAAUAUAUAGAAAAAUAAUAUAUAGAUAACAAUAUUAAACCAUAAGAAAAUUAAACACAGUUAACAUAACACAAUUUUUUGUGGAGCUGAAAAAUUAUGUGGUACUUAGCUGAGGCAGCAGCAAAGAAAGAGGAAGUAGCUUAGGUCACAUGAGGGGAUAUAGUACAAGGACUGAUCCUAUUGGUUAAUGUAUAUGGAAUGUUAUAUGGUUAUCCCUUAAGGGUAUUUGUUUUUUCUUGUUAUUGCUAUAUUGAAAAUAUCAAUAUCCUUUCUUUGCUGCUGAGGAAUAAAGAAAGAGAUAAAGCCUAAUAGGAGCCUCCGUGUCCUUUAAUAAAAUUCAAAUUUUAUUGAACAAACCUCCUAAUGAUAACAGUAUUUUUUUAAACAUAAACUUACAAUGCACUGUUCCAAAUUAUUAUGCACAGUAAGUUUCAAAACACUUUAUAGGUUGUAAAGAACUGAAAAUUGUCAUUUGUUGUGUUUGCAGCAUAUUUAUUGAAAUCAAAAGCUAUUUCAAUCAAACUUAUAACAACAUUUUAACUUUUUAAACAUUUUAACAGGUCACAUUACAUUUUAACAUAGGACCCCUUAUUUGAAAGCUGCUUCACAAGUCUUGCAUCCUUUGAACUUGUGAGUUUUUGGACAGUUUCUGCUUGAAUUUGUUUUCAAGAUGUCAGAAUAGCCUCCCAGAGCUGCUGUUUGGAUGUAAACUGCCUCCCACCCUCAUAGAUCUUUUGCUUGAGGAUGCUCCAAAGGUUCUCAAUAGGAUUUAGGUCAGGGGAGGAUGGAGGCCACACCGUGACUUUCUCUCGUUUUAUCCCCAUAGCAGCCAUUGAUGCAGAGGUAUUCUUUGCAGCAUGAGAUGGUGCACUGUCAUGCAUGAAGAGAUUUUAUUAAGGAAAACAUAGUUCUUCCUUCUGUACCAGGGAAGAAAGUGGUCAGUCAGAAACUCCACAUACUUUGAAUAGGUUAAAGGGACCGACCAGCUCUCUUCCCAUGAUUCCGGCCCAAAACAUGACUCCACCUCUGCCUUGCUGAUGUCGCAGCCUUGUUGGAACAGGGUGGCUGUCCACCAACCAUCCACUACUCCAUCCAUCUGGGUUGCACGGCACUCAUCAGUGAACAGGACUGUUUGAAAAUUAGUCUUCAUGUAUUUUUCUGCCCAAUGCAGCCAUUUCUGCUUGUGAGCAUUGGUUAAUGGUGGCCAAAUAGAAGGUUUAUGCACAGUUGCAAGACUCUGGAGGACUCUACACCUUGAUGUCCGUUGGACUCCAGAGGCACCAGCAGCUUCAAAUAUCUGUUUGCUGCUAUGUAAUGGUAUUUUAGCAGCUGCUCUCUUGAUCCGAUGCAUGGAUCUGGCAGAGAUCUUCCUCAAUGUGCUUUUAUCUGCACGAACCCGUCUGUGCUCUGAAUCAGCCACAAAUCUCUUAAUAGUGCGAUGAUUACGCUUACGUUUUCGUGAAAUAUCUAAUGUUUUCAUACCUCGUCCAAGGCAUUGAACUAUUUCACUCUUUUCGGCAGCAGAGAGAUCCUUUUUCUUCCCCAUAUUGCAUGAAAAUGGUGCUCUGCUUAAUAAUGUGGAACACCCUCCUUUAGUAGUUUUUCCUUAAAUUGGGCUCACCUGGCAAUCUAAUUAUCACAGGUGUCCAAGAUUGUUUUCAGUGAUCAAAAGAGCCCUGAGACACAAUACCAUCCAUGAGUUAAACCGAAAAACAAAAUAUUUAAUUUUUGUGACACUUAAAUAGAAUUUGCAUAAUAAUUUGGAACAAAGUGUAUAUAGGAUAAACAUUCAAUAGUGGACUUGUAAGUUUAGAGGUCAUUAUUGUGUAUUAGCUAUCUACUCCAAAGGAGUGCAUAUCGAGUCCAGUGGAAUGAUAGUAAAUUACACUAGUGGGUUAUACUUAAAUACUGUUACUGAAUAUUUGUUUUGGUGUUAGUAAUAUAUUAAUUUAUCCUUCAAUUGCGGUGUACAUGUCCAUAGUGCAUAGUCUGUUUUGAGAAUACUUUAUUCCUACAGUGUAAAAUGGUCACUUUUAUUAUGCUUCAGGUAUUUUUCGUAAUGUCCUCAGCUAUAAUGUUAUGCCAGCAUGGCAUAAUUUCCUGAUCUGUCAAACCAAAUCACCAAAUUAAUAUAUAUAUUACAGAAGGUUCAUCUACAUUAAAAGGUAUUUAUUAGAAGGCAACAACACAAUACUAUAAAUUUAUCACAAACACACAGCCCAGACCCACGGAGCAACAACCCUUUUUAAAUCUAUCUAUCUAUAUAGUAAUCCCCUUCCCCACACGUUUGAUCUCACCCACGGUUAGGCAUUCACAUCUAGUAAUGGCUUACUGCUGCAAGUUCAACAUCACAUCCACCAAGGAAGAAAAGGGAGCAACAGAGUGUAACAUGGUUCACCAUGCUAGCACAUGGCGUCUGCUCUGUAGCACAGCCAAGAAGGAACAGAGAGGAAUGGAGAUAGGGGGAAGUGGUUAUCUCUCUCCUGACUUGUAAAGGUAUUGAAUUACCCAAUUACCAUAUCAAAGGGUAAAGCUUAUCCCCCUGUAAGAAAGGCAUACAUGAGCUUGGUCACAUGACCCCUGGUCACCAUAUUAGUUUGAUGAGAGAAUGUCACCACAAUAGGGAGAUAUGUUCAGUAGAUAAUAUGAAAUCAAAGAGAUUAAUUUUGUUUUCUUCAUGCUGAUUAAUGUCUUUUAUUUCCUGUAACUGAACUAUUCUAGUUUGUACCCCAUCUCCUUCUGUCCCUUAGACAGUCUCUUUGUGAAUGCAGGUAAGUGUACAGUUCAGCAAUGCAAGAGAGGGGUAACUGGCAGACAGAGAGCAAGCGGUACUGAAAGGAAAGUGUGACGAAGUGCCCUUCGCCACUUGUACCUGGAGAGGACUGCUUGCCCGCCUCUUGCCCUGUGACUAUGGCCCCUGGGAUGUAUUGCCCUUUAAAGACAUGAUUUGGGCAUAAUGGAUUUGUGUUGUGCUGCUGCUGGCCCUUUAGGAACCAUCUGGGGACAUACUGUGGAGUUACUGGAUGGCCACCAUUUCCUGUAUCAGAAGCACAUGGUGAGAACAAUGGAUGGAGGCCAUUUUAACUCACAGACACUGUUUGGACUUUUCAACACGGUGCCAUCUUGCCAGUAUUUGGUGCACAGAGACAUCGUGCAGUGGUUUUGGACCAUACAGCAGGGGACACAUUAUAAAGUGAUUGUUUUUCAUUUAGCCUGUAUAUGUUCUGCAGAAUCUGCAUUAAACUGUAUUUUCCAAAGUACUGAACGGAUCUGGGUGAAUUUUGGAUAUGUGGUUCACCCAGAUCCCCCGGUUCCAAGGAUAUACUUUUAUGGGGUUAUUGCAUGUUUUGGGGUCCCUGUGUGUUUUAUGAAACUGUAUUAUUUCUGGCCAGCAGAUAAUUGAGCUUUGUGUAUUGUAGAAACUCAAUUAUCUAGCCUGGCCCAGAGGAGGAGUUUUGUGUUGCAUAAAUUGUGAGUUCUGUGUGCCAGUAAAUCAGUCUUGUUCCAGCAUUAAGCCUUGGCUCAUGUUUGGGGGAAGGGAUACCUACACUCUGGGGAUUGCUAUAAUCACUUACUCCCCAGAGGAAGCUCUUGCAAUAGCUUGAUUUGUUCCUGUUCCUGCUCUCUGGGAAAAGAGAGGUUCACCCACUGGAAGCUGGAUCCUGGCCUUGGGUCCAGGGUGGGUGGAAACAGCAGAGACCCCGGCGCAGUUGCAUCGCUGGAAGUGGGGUCUGCAGUGCUGAUGGUGUCGGUUGGAGUGCUUGGAGUCCUCAGCGAACACUAGGAGCAUCGAUUGGCGGAGGUACUCAGUCGGAGUGCCAGCGUUCCGUCACAGAAAGGUUUAAUCAGUAUCAUCGCUCUGUAAGACAGAGAGCAGGUAAGUAUACAAUUCAGCGAUACAAGGAGGCCCUGGGCAAGAGAGGGGUAACUGGCAGAAGGAGAGCAAGCGAUACUGAAAGGAAAGGUUUAGGCAGUAUCAUCGCUCUGUGAGACAGAGCAGGUAAGUAUACAGUUCAGCGAUACAAGGAGGCCCUCGGCAAGAGAGGUGUGACUACAGCGAAGUUUCAGAAUUUGUCCAAAUUACUGACUUUAGCCUCAAUUUUAACCUUGAGAUUUAAUUUGCUACAAUGUGGUGUUUAGUAAAUAACCAAGUGUGAAUUUUCAUCACCCCAUAACGUGUUCUCUUUUUCUUUCAGCACGUAUGUUGUGCUGUUUCCAGUUAUUUUGGUAAAUUUCACUGUGACCGUGUUUCUCUCUCUGAGUACAAUUAAAGGGUCACUAUAGUCACCAAAACAACUUAAGCUUAAUGAAGCAGUUUUGGUGUAUAGAUCAUGCCCCUGCAGUCUCACUGCUCAAUCCUCUGCCAUUUAGGAGUUAAAUCCCUUUGUUUAUGAACCCUAGUCACACCUCCCUGCAUGUGACUUGCACAGCCUUCCUAAACACCUCCUGUAAAGAGUCAUCUAAUGUUUAUCCUUCCUUUAUUGCAAGUUCUGUUUAAUUUUAUGGCAAGACAGGAGGCUUCAUAUUUGCUUAUCUUUCUUUACUGUAACUCCCAGCAGCAAAGAAAUGGUUAACAAUGUUGUAUGGAAAAAUCAACCAAUCAUAACAUAUCUCAACUACAAUAUAGUGUCAUCAAACUCCUCCCACUUCCUCUUUCUUUGCUGCUUGCCUCCCAGGUGAGUCUGCUCCAAUUACAUUGCCUUACUGGUUUAAGUUAAUUCGAUAUUUUUUUAUUUACACCUUGUUACUGCAUACUCAGAAUUCAUCUUAAAAAAUUUAUUUUUUAAUUUAAUCACCUUUCCCUUUAAAUAUUUUCCUCUUUUUUCCUCACACAUAUUUUGUAUUUUUUCUUAUUUCACUGUUCUGUUAUUUUGAUUGCUUUUCCUUUAAAUUUAGGUGUCCUAACCGGUUCCUCUUUUAGUUCCAGUGCACGGAGGGUUUUUUCAAACCCUGCCGCUUUCAAUCAGCUGGCCGCGGCUCUAUUCUCUCAGGGAGAGCCGCGGCCCAUUCUCUGUCUCUCUUCAGCCGCGGACUCCAUUUCCCAGAGUCCGCGGCUGCUGUUUCCCGCCGUUACCUUCCUCCCGCCUACCAAAGGCGUCUCCUCUUUGACGCGGACCUUUUUCCCGCCCUUUCUACGACGGCGUUCUCGCGGCGGCCAUCUUAAGCCUUAGUAGUAACGGCCAACGGCUCCUCCACUGCGGCGCACAAAUUUUACAAUCAAGUGGGUACAGACCUUAUUAAUAGUUUGUGGAAGGUAGGUUUGCUGCCACCUUAUAUCUUCACCUUUUUCACAAGCUCAUUAAAAACGAUCUUUUUCUUAUCUAUCUCCUAUCUGUUUUUUCUCCACAGGCUUUGCCCAUUUUUUUUUACUAUCUGGGUGAACCCCUUUCUUUAAAUUGUAUAAUUACAGUGUGGUUUUUGUUUUUUGACCAAAUUUUGCUGUUUGACCAUUUUAUUUCCCUCAUGUGGGUGAACCCCACUUACUUAUCUAAAGUACAUAUUAUGUACAAUAUUUGUGUGGCUGACACCACCUACUGAAAACACUGCUGUGUAAAUAUUUAUGUGGCUAACACCACCUGAUUUAUUUUCUGUGGGUGACCCCCAUUACUUACUGUGCAUUAUAUAUACAUUAUAUAUAUUACUAGUGUAAUUUUAUAGUGUUGACCCCACCUCACUAAAUUUACAAGAUUUCUAGUACUCACAAUCUGUAUUAUUGGGUGACCCCCAUUAUUUGUCAUUUACUAAUUUAUUGUGCCAAGCAUUUGUGGGUGACCCCCAUUGAUUCUGACGUCUCGUGGGUGACCCCCACCUCAUAUUUUUCUAAUUGAGUUGCCUCAUCCUUAAUUGACACUCUAAUAGGGUUUACAUUUAUCUUGAAAUUGUCAUUAUGUCAGAUCGCCAAGACCCUGCGAUUUCUGCUGAACUUAAGGAAUGGCUUUUCUCAACCAUCGCAGAGUCCAUUCCUAAGGCUCUGGCAGCCUACCAUGAACGUAAUCCAGAGGUACACCCCUUUACACAACAGCCCUCUGAUUCUGAGGACUCCCAUAUUUCCGACCAAGAUAACGCCCCGCGCAAGAGACCCUGGAAAGGGAAUAGCGCUACUGCGGGCAAGGGCAAAGCUCCUGCUAAGGUCAUUAAACACUCUAAACCUUACGUUUCGCAGGAUGCUACAGACCUUCUAGAGGGUUCUACUUCACGUUUAUCUGGCCAUAUUCUAAGUGACUAUGACCCUAAUUACUCUGAUGAGGAUCCCAUGGUGAAUGUGCCCCAGGAUUCCUCAACAUCGGAGUUUGUGAAAGAAACCUUCCUAAGUCAAGAUCACAAGAGUAAGGUACCUGACUCAGACACCAUCCUGGAUGCUUCAGGCCUUCCCCUUUUUGACCCAAGGGUGAUACGCCACCCGCGCUCAGCAGAAUGGGCUCCCCCAGAUCAUAUUGCUAAUUUCUGUAAACUGUGGCUUCGCAAGCCUCUCGAAAAAGAAAUCAGAAACAAACUAAGGGCGAAUGCCCGAGACCAACUAUUCCAGGCAAAGUUGCCUCUACCCCUGAAUUUGACCCCAUGCUGGUCACCUAUUUAACAAAAUCUGGUAAAGACCCUCGUAAGGGUAUUGAACAGGGUUUGAAAGCAACCCAAGACAAAUUAUUGGACAUUUCAGGUCCUAUCAUACAAAUAUUCAUACUCGCAGAUGAGGCACUCACCAGCGGUGAACUUGAUCCGCACAUUAUAAGAGAAUGGGCACAGAGAGCCCUUUGCCUUUUGGGCAACGCCAAUACGGCUAUUUCAAUUGAGAGACGCAAAGCGGCACUGUACAAAAUCGAUGCCAAACUGGUGGAUUUGAGCACUAAAGAACUAGGCCCAGAGGCCGAUGGUCUUUUAUUUGGUAACAGUUUCAUGCGAGACCUCUCCAAGCAUGUCUCAGUUUUUACCACACUCAAUAAAGCCCAGUCCUCUCUACGUAGGGUGUUCCGUCCCACUUUUCAAAAUCGUUUUUCUGGGAGAGCUGGUCGCUCAAGGGGCCGAGCUACCAGUAGAGCAGCCUUUUCAGGCUACAGGCCCCGACCCACAGAGUAUUGGUCCACGGGAUACUCACGACCCUACCACAGGCAGCUGUUCGGCACCAGAGGCUCAAUUCGAGGACGUGGCUCUGCAUCCCUACGCGGACGCACUGCUUCAGGUAAUGGACCUUGCUUAUUUAAAAACUGUAUCAAUCGCAGGUCGAUUAACAUUUUUUUUCCCACAGUGGAAACUUCUUUCUCAGGAUCUUUGGAUCCUUCAUACAGUCACAGGUUUCAAAAUAGAUUUUAUCACACAUCCAGUUCAAUAUUCUCACCCGACACCCUUAGGGAUGUCAAAAGCAGAUACUCUAACCUUGAACACAGAACUGACAAAAUUGUUACACAAAGGGGCGAUCGAACCUUCGCCUUUCCCUUGCACCUUCCUCAAGAAUAUAUUUCUGGUUCGGAAGAAAAUGGGGGACCAUCGUCCCAUUAUCAACCUCAAGGCGUUGAAUCGCUUUAUCACAUACCGUCAUUUCAAGAUGGAAGGUAUCCAUCUUCUCAGGGACUUGCUCUGCAUGGGAGACUGGUUCUCCAGAUUCGACCUCAAAGAUGCUUAUCUGACGGUCCCUGUAGCACCAAGUCACCGUGCCUUCCUCCAAUUCCGUUGGCAAGGCGACAUUUGGCAGUUCACCUGCCUCCCUUUUGGACUUUGUUCUGCUCCAUGGUGUUUCACCAAGUUGAUGAAACCAGUCAUGGCGCUCCUUCGUUCUCAGGGCAUACGUUCAAUUAUAUAUUUGGACGAUAUCCUGAUCAUGGCACAAGAUCAGCAAUUACUUCGCAAACACACACACAUGACCUCUGCCCUCCUUCAAAACCUAGGUUUUGUCAUAAAUUACCAGAAAUCAGACCUGGUACCUUCUCAAAUAGUCCAAUUUUUGGGUUUUCAGAUAGAUUCAGUUCAAGCAACUCUACAAUUACCCUACUCCAAAAUCAAAAACAUAAAACGAGAGAUUCAAAAAUUACUCAAGUCACAACGACCUCGACUCCGCGACCUAGCACACGUGCUGGGUCUUCUGUCUGCAUCAAUUCAGGCUAUUUUUCCAGGGCCCUUGCAUUACAGAGCAAUGCAACGGCUGAAAACCUCCUAUUUACAUCGCUCGACCUCCUACGACCAAUUCAUUUCCCUAACGGACGAAGUUCUCAUCGAACUUCACUGGUGGCUUCGCAAUAUGGAAGCCUGGAAUGGGAAAGCGAUUUUCGGAUCUCAACCAGAUUUUAUUCUGGAAUCCGAUGCCAGCCUACUCGGUUGGGGCGCUACGUGCGCCCAAUCAUACACAGGAGGUCUCUGGUCCCCGUCGGAACAAGCACUUCACAUAAAUUGUCUCGAGCUCAUUGCCGGAUCCUUCGCGAUCCGCAGCUUUGCCAAAGAAGCCUCCAACUGCUCUCUGGUACUUCGGAUGGACAACAUCUCCGCAGUACGAUAUGUAAACCGUCUCGGAGGGUCCAAAUCGAAACUACUGUCAGACCUCACCAAGGAUCUGUAUCAGUUUUGCUUAGACAGGAAUCUGUCUAUUCGGGCCGAGUAUCUCCCAGGACCCGACAAUUUAGUCGCGGACUGGUUCUCACGUCACUGGAGGGAUGCCAGCGAUUGGCAAUUAGAUCCUCUUCUAUUUCACCACAUUCACCUAUUGCGGGGACCGAUCACUCUCGACCUCUUCGCGUCUCGGCUGAAUCGUCAAACAGACGAUUAUUUCAGCUGGUUACCAGACCCUCUAUCCCUAGCUGUCGACGCUUUUCUCCAACAUUGGCCACGGGACGGAGCCUAUGCCUUCCCUCCCUUCUCCAUGAUUCAACGUACUCUCCACCAGGUCAAAUCACAGGGGGUCAAGAUUGUGAUAGUUACCCAGACGUGGUUACCCAGACGUCUGGCGGGCCCAGACGUGGUUCCCCACUCUUCUGGAGCUUUCCACAGACUACCCCAUCAUUCUACCUCGCUCACAUCGGGUUCUCAAGAACUCAACGGGCGACUACCAUCCACUAGCUCUACAGGGCCAUCUUCAGUUAGUGGCCUGGACAGUUUCAGGGGUGCUUGGCAUGUCGCAGGACUUUCAAGCACUGCUCAAACACUCCUAUGGGAUUCAUGGGCACCGGGAACCAGGCGCACCUAUCUCGCCGCAUGGCGAGUUUGGGUCAGCUGGUGUCUGGAGAGGGAUUUCGAUCCCGUUUCAACAUCUCUCUCAUCCAUUCUAAAUUUUCUAUCAUCCCUUUUCGAUCAGGGUAAAUCAUACCGCUCAAUUAAUGUUUUUCGUUCCGCCAUUUCGGCGGGACAUGACCCUAUUGAUAAUUCCUUAGUUGGGAAACAUCCUUCUGUGUGCAGACUUUUACGAGGCAUUCGUUUGACGAGGCCACCUUCUGCCAAAUACUCUGGCUUCUGGGACAUAUCUCGAGUCUUCGCAUUGUUAGAGUCCUGGCCUCCUAACGAGGCCUUAUCCCUUCGACAGCUCUCUGCAAAAUUGGCCCUGCUACUGUGGCUGGUGUCAUUCCGCAGAGUUUCUGACGUUCACGCUUUUGAUUCACACGCUGUCUCCUUCACACCAGAAGGGGUCCGAUUAAAGAUUACUAGGCGCACUAAGACGAAUUCCUCGUCUGUCUUUUACCCAUACUUUCCCGACAGGCCGGCUCUCUGUGUGGCUCUGUGUACUCGUUGUUACACAGAGGCAACUGCCGCCCUACGUUCUCCUACCGGUCCUCUUUUCAUUUCUUAUGUCAGACCUCACAAACCGGUCUCUUCCCCCACUAUCGCUCGCUGGAUAAGAUGGUUACUUAUCCAAGCGGGAAUCGAUAGAUCAUUUGGGGCCCAUUCGGUUAGGGGAGCGGCUGCUUCCUCUGCCUUUCGGGCCGGCAGUUCAUUAGCAGAUAUUUUGUCCUGCGCAGAUUGGUCAAGGGAAUCUACCUUUCGGACUUUUUAUUUUAAACCAACACAAACACAUGCGGCUUGUUCUAUUAUUCGAGAGCGUUAAAACAGCAAAUAUGAAGCCUCCUGUCUUGCCAUAAAAUUAGGGAUUAUUCUAGCUUUAGUGAACGAAUAAUCUGAAUUUUAUUAAAGACAGGAGGCGAAUAUUUUCCCUCCCUUCGUUCACUCCGGAACCCACCCUCGAGGUAAGUCUCAUAAUCACUAAUUAAUGUAUGAUACCAUUAUUUACAUACAAAUCUGCUAUAUACGAUUUGUUCAUCUUGUGGUCCUACACCUAUCUCAUAGAGUGCUGAUAGAUCUUUAUAAUUUCGAUUAUUCUGUCAAUUCGUAUGAACUAUAAUUGGAAAUAGGGGGUUCAACUAUAUAUAUUUUUUCUCUUGUCCGAGAAACCUUACUUUCACGAAGUCUCUUUUUUUCUUUUAGUGUGAAGAUCUCAAGUUUAUUCGAUCAACUUUCCGUUUACAUGGUUGACUUCAUCUCGAGUUUCAGCUUCGGGAACUGUUCCGG
RNAcentral lists this long non-coding RNA (26522 nucleotides) under Pelobates cultripes (western spadefoot toad). Lineage: Eukaryota; Metazoa; Chordata; Amphibia; Anura; Pelobatidae. The record is from RNAcentral.